This is a long non-coding RNA of Rhagoletis pomonella (apple maggot), 391 nucleotides long. RefSeq lists it as uncharacterized. NCBI's taxonomy places the organism in Eukaryota, Metazoa, Arthropoda, Insecta, Diptera, Tephritidae. The transcript is spliced from 2 exons. The record is from RefSeq and is a predicted model, not a curated record.
CACUGAGUGUGCUUCACUCAUUUUGAUUUUUUCGCGCAACUACUGAAAAUCUUUUAGCUGCGGCAAUUUAAUUAAAGUUUUCAUAAAAUGAAAGUGGCUGUCUUAAAUUAAAAGGGGUUUAGUUACAAUUUUCAGCCAAAAUAUACAUAAACGCUUAUGCUGACUGGUGAACACAACUAAAGCUUAUUAGUGUGCACAAUCCUUCAGAGCCUUGAAGAAUAACCUGGGUUAUGUGAGCUUGAUCGCUCAGCCAACCAAACCACAUCGAACAAAGGUUUAGUGAUUGUUAUUUUUUACCAAAAUUCAAUUUAUGUACGUAGAUACAUACCGCAGCCGCUAGAAAACCAUACAAAAUGAGAAGAAGUGAGGUUUGGAAGUUUUUUAAUGAAAA